CCUCUGACGUUAGCGGCGGACGGGUGAGUAACACGUGAGUAACCUGCCUUAGACAUUGGGAUAGCCUCGGGAAACCGGGAUUAAUACCAAAUAAAAUCAUAAUGACACAUGUCAUAACGAUCAAAACUCCGGUGGUCUAAGAUGGACUCGCGUCCCAUUAGCUAGUUGGUAGAGUAAAAGCCUACCAAGGCGACGAUGGGUAGCCGGCCUGAGAGGGUGAACGGCCACAUUGGAACUGAGAAACGGUCCAA
RNAcentral lists this ribosomal RNA (251 nucleotides) under uncultured Eubacteriales bacterium. RNAcentral's name for it is "uncultured Clostridiales bacterium partial 16S ribosomal RNA". It matches the Rfam family "Bacterial small subunit ribosomal RNA", at positions 83 to 334 of the family's 1533-position model. Lineage: Bacteria; Bacillati; Bacillota; Clostridia; Eubacteriales. The record is from RNAcentral.